RNAcentral lists this ribosomal RNA (498 nucleotides) under uncultured bacterium. Its description in RNAcentral is "bacterial SSU rRNA". It matches the Rfam family "Bacterial small subunit ribosomal RNA", at positions 15 to 507 of the family's 1533-position model. The record is from RNAcentral.
GAUCAUGGCUCAGAUUGAACGCUGGCGGCAUGCCUUACACAUGCAAGUCGAACGGCAGCACGGGAGCUUGCUCCUGGUGGCGAGUGGCGAACGGGUGAGUAAUACAUCGGAACGUACCCUGAAGUGGGGAUAACGUAGCGAAAGUUACGCUAAUACCGCAUAUUCUGUGAGCAGGAAAGAGGGGGAUCGCAAGACCUCUUGCUUUAGGAGCGGCCGAUGUCGGAUUAGCUAGUUGGUGAGGUAAAGGCUCACCAAGGCGACGAUCCGUAGCGGGUCUGAGAGGAUGAUCCGCCACACUGGGACUGAGACACGGCCCAGACUCCUACGGGAGGCAGCAGUGGGGAAUUUUGGACAAUGGGCGCAAGCCUGAUCCAGCCAUGCCGCGUGAGUGAAGAAGGCCUUCGGGUUGUAAAGCUCUUUCGGUGGGGAAGAAAUUGCACAGGAUAAUACCUUGUGUAGAUGACGGUACCCGCAUAAGAAGCACCGGCUAACUACGUG